CGAUGUCCGUACCGAGAUCCGACACAGGUGCUCUGCCAGCGCAAGGCAAGGCCUGUCGGGAGAACCGACGUUAGGGAAUUCGGCAAGUUAGUCCCGUACCUUCGGAAGAAGGGAUGCCUGCUCUCUGAGGAGCAGGUCGCAGUGACUCGGGCGCUCCGACUGUCUAGUAACAACACAGGUGACCGCAAAUCCGCAAGGACUCGUACGGUCACUGAAUCCUGCCCAGUGCGGGUAUCUGAACACCUCGUACAAGAGGACGAAGGACCCGUCAACGGCGGGGGUAACUAUGACCCUCUUAAGGUAGCGUAGUACCUUGCCGCUUCAGUAGCGGCUUGCAUGAAUGGAUAAACGAGAGCGCCACUGUCCCAACGUUGGACCCGGUGAACUGUACGUUCCAGUGCGGAGUCUGGAGACCCCCAAGGGGAAGCGAAGACCCUAUAGAGCUUUACUGCAGGCUGUCGCUGAGACGUGGUCGCCGAUGUGCAGCAUAGGUAGGAG
Molecule: ribosomal RNA, 498 nt
Filed under: Halorubrum sp. SP3
Lineage: Archaea; Methanobacteriati; Methanobacteriota; Halobacteria; Halobacteriales; Haloferacaceae
Description: partial 23S ribosomal RNA
Rfam family: Archaeal large subunit ribosomal RNA
Source: RNAcentral